Long non-coding RNA from Nematostella vectensis (starlet sea anemone), 1549 nucleotides. RefSeq lists it as uncharacterized. The transcript is spliced from 2 exons. NCBI's taxonomy places the organism in Eukaryota, Metazoa, Cnidaria, Anthozoa, Actiniaria, Edwardsiidae. The record is from RefSeq and is a predicted model, not a curated record.
CUCAAACGACAGCACGUGGACGGUGUCAAAACAACAACACGUCCGUGCAGUCGAACAAACGUGAGCUGCAGUACCUCAAAACAAAUGGCUGAGGGAAGUCUACAGGUCGUUUCAGCGAUUAGCAUAAGAGCUGAGAACAAAUUAAACAUUAAUACUCACAUUUUUGGGUAUCUCUUUCAGCAGUGGAGCUGCGUGAAACUUGUGUGUCAGCAUCAUCCUUGUGCUCUGCAAAACAAGACAGAAAAAGUCAACGAUAGGAAACAAACUCUAACUCCCAGUAUGGAUCGGAAAACGGGAAUUAUUUGGGUAGUAAAAGAGGCAAACGAGAACUUAAACAGAGAAGCAUUUGAAUUAUUAACGAGCAACUCAUAUUCAACUUGUUGAUUAGCGCGAAUGAGCAGGCAUGUCAAGCGGCAGCCAAUCAGCGCACGCGCCGAGAACAAUAGAGGCACGUUGAUUACGGUACCGGAAAUAGAUCCUCUCCGGUACGCAGCAAAGAGCUCAAGGCCUCAAACCAUGGGAUAGGGUUUUUAGCAUCGAUUUACGCGACCUACGCCUGUUUGGGGGCAAAAUGCAGGAAGUGAGAAUUGACGUACAGAAAGAAGCUAAAGAAACGUAGCGAGAAAACGGAAACUCGAAACUAAAGCGCAUCAGACAAAAACACAUCAUUUACAUACAAUGCACUUCAAUACAAUUAAACUUCCAGCGUCGAAAUACAUUAAGAGGGUUACAGCGAGGUAAGGGUUAUUCUAGAGAUAAUUAAUCAGCUGGACAAAAUAUCAUCUAUUAUAUCGUUUAUCCAAACGUCGGACAACCACUGAUUUCCUAAACCGCGAGCUCGAUAUUUUUAUCACGUCUAAUCGCGAGACGUGAGGCUACCGAGGCCUCCGUACAUAGAACCCCCAUUCCUCCACUCUAUAGAACGGUCACAUGUAUCAGCCGUUGUAAUCUAUAGGCCAUGUUUAGGAGUGUGUAAGCAUGUAAUAUCUUAUUUAGCCACGUCUUGGCACUUGAGACGAAUGUUUGCUCGCGACUGCCGAUGUGUCCAGCUUGAUAUGCACCACUAAGCAGCGCACGUAUUAGCCUCAGAGGGGCCGAAGGGGGCAAAGGAAAGUCGGCGAAAUAAGCGAUGAGCUCUGUUAUCGGAAGCAGUAUACGUGAUUACAAACGAACUUCGCAAAGUGCCGCAUUGUAGGAAUGCUCUUCAUACGGGUAGCGUUAAAAGAAGUUGAAGAUAUAGUUAUGCAAAUAAUGUAUUUAAUAUACAUUUGAGUGAAAAAGUGUGAAAUGUACCUGUCGUAGCGGCCAAUUGAAUAGAGCGGACUGUCAAGAUAGAAAGGGCACGCGCCGAUUGAGCCUACAAUUUACCGGAAACAAGCGCCCCCAAAAGAAUAACAGACAAGUUUAGUCAAUACCAGACAAUAAUAAUUCGCAAUAGAAGUAGAAAACAGUUUGUUUAGGGUUUUAAAAGGACAUGAAGCGGAAAAAGAACUGUCUGAUGAAGAUUGUAGGUUGUCUAUAAUGGAAGUAAACAUCGAAAAUGUGAAAA